RNAcentral lists this transfer RNA (90 nucleotides) under Burkholderiaceae bacterium DAT-1. Its description in RNAcentral is "tRNA-Ser". It matches the Rfam family "tRNA". From Rfam's summary of the family: Transfer RNA (tRNA) molecules are approximately 80 nucleotides in length. Their secondary structure includes four short double-helical elements and three loops (D, anti-codon, and T loops). RNAcentral also lists the same sequence under 1 other name. Lineage: Bacteria; Pseudomonadati; Pseudomonadota; Betaproteobacteria; Burkholderiales; Burkholderiaceae. The record is from RNAcentral.
GGAAGCGUGGCAGAGUGGUUUAAUGCACCGGUCUUGAAAACCGACGAGUCUUCACGGGCUCCGUGAGUUCGAAUCUCACCGCUUCCGCCA